Molecule: ribosomal RNA, 406 nt
Filed under: uncultured bacterium
Lineage: Bacteria
Description: partial 16S ribosomal RNA
Rfam family: Bacterial small subunit ribosomal RNA
Source: RNAcentral
AUUGAACGCUGGCGGCAAGCCUAACACAUGCAAGUCGAACGAGUGGCGGACGGGUGAGAAAUGUCUGGGAAACUGCCUGAUGGAGGGGGAUAACUAGUAGAAACGGUAGCUAAUACCGCAUACCAUGGGAUGUGCCCAGAUGGGAUUAGAUAGGGGGUGGGGUAAAGGCUCACCUAGGCGACGAUCCCUAGCUGGUCUGAGAGGAUGACCGGCCACACUGGGACUGAGACACGGUCCAGACUCCUACGGGAGGCAGCAGUAGGGAAUAUUCGGCAAUGGGCGAAAGCCUGAUCGAGCCACGCCGCGUGAGUGAAGAAGGUCUUCGGGUUGUAAAGUUCUGUUGUUGGAGAAGCGUUAUCUAACGAAAAAGCACCGGCUAACUCCGUGCCAGCAGCCGCGGUAAUAC